RNAcentral lists this ribosomal RNA (228 nucleotides) under Salmonella enterica. RNAcentral's name for it is "partial 16S ribosomal RNA". It matches the Rfam family "Bacterial small subunit ribosomal RNA", at positions 1 to 225 of the family's 1533-position model. Lineage: Bacteria; Pseudomonadati; Pseudomonadota; Gammaproteobacteria; Enterobacterales; Enterobacteriaceae. The record is from RNAcentral.
AAAUUGAAGAGUUUGAUCAUGGCUCAGAUUGAACGCUGGCGGCAGGCCUAACACAUGCAAGUCGAACGGUAACAGGAAGCAGCUUGCUGUUUCGCUGACGAGUGGCGGACGGGUGAGUAAUGUCUGGGAAACUGCCUGAUGGAGGGGGAUAACUACUGGAAACGGUGGCUAAUACCGCAUAACGUCGCAAGACCAAAGAGGGGGACCUUCGGGCCUCUUGCCAUCAGA